GAUCCUGGCUCAGGACGAACGCUGGCGGCGUGCCUAACACAUGCAAGUCGAACGAGAAUCUUUGAACAGAUCUUUUCGGAGUGACGUUCAAAGAGGAAAGUGGCGGACGGGCGAGUAACGCGUGAGUAACCUGCCCAUAAGAGGGGGGAUAAUCCAUGGAAACGUGGACUAAUACCGCGUAUUGUAGUUAAGUUGCAUGACUUGAUUAUGAAAGAUUUAUCGCUUAUGGAUGGACUCGCGUCAGA
This 245-nucleotide ribosomal RNA is filed under the name uncultured bacterium. RNAcentral describes it as "partial 16S ribosomal RNA". It matches the Rfam family "Bacterial small subunit ribosomal RNA", at positions 15 to 240 of the family's 1533-position model. The record is from RNAcentral.